GGUCGCGGCGCCCCGGGGCUCGGCCCCUGCCCUGCCGCCGCCGCCGCCUCUCUCCUGGCCCCGGGGCAGCGAGCAGCGGGCGGCGAUGUCGGAGGCGGGCGGAAGCGGCGAGCUGCCCUCCCCGCGGUGUUCCGGCCCGGGCUCCAGCCGCCCCUCGCUGCCCCCCGGCUCCCGCAACGGUUCCGCGUCGCAGCGCAGGCAGCAGCGGCUCUCCGGCGGGCUCGGCCGCCCGCAGGCCGCCGGGGAAGACGACGAGGAGGAGGAAGAGGAGGAGGAGGAGGAGGAGGAAGGAGAGGGGCCGCGGGGGUCGGAGGGCCGCGAGGGCAGCGUGGACGAGCGCAGAAGGAGGAUGAUCCGCAACCAGUACCGGGAGCUGAUCUGCAGCGUGCAGCAAAAUCGUGAGGAUAUGCUGAGUUCAAAAAGCAACAGGCUGACAGAAGCUUUGGAAGAAGCCAAUAAACUGUUCAGUGGAGUUUCUUGUGCACGAGAGGCUGCGCUGGAUGCCCAAUUUCUUGUCUUAGCAUCAAAUCUAGGAAAGGAGAAAGCUAAUGAGUUGCGCUCAGAGAUGACAACAUUUGAUUCACUGACAUUUGCAGAAGACUUGCUAACAUUCAUGGGUAUAAAUCGUAUAGAAGUAGACGGAAAUGAUAGCGAUACCGAGAACAUUUCAGCUGGCUAUUUACCUAGUAAUGCCUGGCAUAAGCUGGGAGAAGAAGCAGAAAAGUACUUCAGAAGAGCACCUUCUUUUCACUACAUGUUGGGAUCUUUCAAGUCUGAUCCUCCUGUACCAAGGCAACGGAUUGAGAGGCAGAAAAAGGCUGCAGGAGGAGAAGAAAAACGGGCAAUGCCUGCUCAGCUAAAAAAAAUGGAGGAGUCUCAUCAGGAAGCUACAGAAAAAGAAGUAGAGAGGAUCUUGGGAUUACUACAGACUCACUUUAAAAAUGAUCCUUCUACACCUAUUCUCUUCUUUGAUCUUGUGAUUGAUCCAAACUCUUUUGCACGCACUGUGGAAAACAUCUUCCAUGUGUCCUUCAUUAUAAGGGAUGGUCUUGCAAGAUUAAAGCUGGAUGAUGAUAAAUUGCCAGUAAUAGAGCCCGUAAAAAACAACGAAGGAAGAAAGGAUGAUGACCAUAGUAAUCGAGCACGGAACCAAGUUGUCAUUUCCCUGAGCUAUCAAGAAUGGAAGGACAUUGUAGAAACAUUUGAAAUAACAGAACCCAUGAUCAGCCCUCCUUCUUACAGUAAUGAAGAUGAAAUGGAGAUAGCUUAAUUCUUCAAGUGCCUUAAAGAAAAAUAUUUUAAAAUGUUACCUUCAAAUAAGAUUUUAUAUGUAUAUAUUGUAAUAUUAAAUUUAUUUUUAUUGGAACAUUCUGGUACUUUAUAUACGCUGUAUUGUUUUCACAUGACACAGUUAUCAUAUCCUUUCAAUUUAUUAUGGCUCUAUUUAUGGCUUUCUGUAAACUUUACUGACACUGCUAAAAGCUUUCAUAAAAAUGAAAUGCUGCCCCCCCUUUCAUUCAUUGUCUCUCACCAAUAACAGCCUGCAAGGGGAAUUUACAUGGUUAACCAUCUCUGCUGGGAUAAUCUUGUUACCUAGGUGGUGUUGGGUACCACAGGAGAAAUGAGACAGAAAGACAGUAUCAUCAUCAAAUCUAGAUUCAACUUCGGAAAUUUUAGUCUCAGAAUUAGGAAAAAAGGAAGGAGGAAUUUUUAUCUGUAAGUUUAUCGUAUCAUAGAAUCACAGAAUAUCCCAAGUUGGAACGGACCCACAAGGAUUAUCAAGUCCAACUCCUGGCUCCACACAGGGCCCCCCAAAAAUCAAUCCUAUGCCUGAGGGCGUUGUCCAGAUGCUUCUUGAACUCCUGCAGCUCGGUGCUGUGACCACUGCCCUGGGGAGCCUGUCCCAGUGCCCGACCACCUCUGGGUGCAGAACCUUUCCCUAACACCCAGCCUGACCCUCCCCUGUCCCAGCUCCAUGCUGUCCCCUCGGGUCCUGUCGCUGUCCCCAGAGAGCAGAGCUCAGCGCCUGCCCCUCUGCGCCCCUCGUGAGGGAGCUGCAGGCCGCCAUGAGGCCUGCCCUCGGCCUGCUCUGCUCUAGGCUGAACAAACCCAGGGCCCUCAGCCGAUACUCGUGUUUUCCGCUUUAGACCCUUCACCAUCUUUGUAGCCCCCCUUUGGACACUUUCCAAUAGUUUUAUGUUGUUUUUAUACUGUGAUGCCCCAAACUGCACCCAGCACUUGAGGUGAGGCCACAGCAUUGCAGAGCAGAGCAGGACAAUCCCUCCCUCGCCCAGCUAGCCAUGCUGUGCUUGAUGCACCCAGGACACUGCUGGCCUUUUGGCUGUCACUGCACACUGCUGGCUCGUGUUCAUCUUGUCAUUGACCAGAACCCCCAGACCCCUUCCUGUGGGGCUGCUCUCCAGCCGCUCAUUCCCCAGUCUGUACAUCCAGCCGGGGCUGCCCUGGCCCAGGUGCAGAAUCCAGCACUUGCUCUUGUUAAACUUGAUACCGACGGUGAUUGCCCAGCUCUCUAACUUGUCAAGAUCUCUCUGCAAGGCCUCUCUACUAUCAGGGGAGGCAGCAGCUCCUCCUAAUUUAGUGUCAUCUGCAAACUUAGUAUGCAUUUGAGUCCUGCAUCCAAAUCAAUUAUAAAAAUGUUGAAGGGAACUGGCCCUAAAAUAGAGCCCUGGGGAACCUCACAGGUGACUGGCUGCCAGCCUGAUGUAACCCCAGUUACUGUAACCCUUUGAGCUUGACCCAUCCGCCAAUUGUUCACCCAUUGUGUUAUGUAUCUGUCUAGUUGUAUGCUGGACAUCUUGUCCAGAAAGAUACUGUGAGAGACAGCAUGAAAGCUUUGCUGAAAUAUGAAAAGACUACAUCUACUGGCUUCCCUUGGUCAACUAGGUGUUUCUCAGUAACUCCCAGAGUAAUCUCCAUAAUUUUACCAGGCACUGAAGUGAGACUGGCAGGCCUGUAAUUGCCAGGGUCUUCUUUCUUGAAAACUAGAACAACGUUUACCAGCUUCCACUCAACUGGGACCUUUCCAGAUUCCCAAGACCAUUGAAAAAUAUUUGAGAGGUCUCAUAGUGACAUCAGCCAGCUCUUUGAGUACCCUGGGAUGAAUCCCAUUGGGCCCUGUAGACUUCCAUGUAUCCAGCUGGAGCAGCGAGUCCUGUACAAGUUCGGUGUCGGUAUCGUUACUGCAGUUACAGUUCUCCAACUCAGGACUCUGGAGGUCUCAGAGCCCAUCACUGCUGUUGAAGACAGAGGUGAAGAAGGUAUUUCAUGUCUAUUUUAUCUAUGUCUGUUUUUGUGAGGUGACCAUCCUCACUAAGUAAUGGACCAAUGCUAUUUCUGGUCCUCCUUUUGUUAUUAACAUAUUUUAAAAAGCCCUUUUUAUUGUCCUACACCGUACUGGCCAGCUUCAACUCUAACUGAGCUUUGGCACACAAAUUUUCUCCCUACGAUGGUGAACAGCAUCUCUGUAGUCCUACCAUGUCAGCUAACCUUGCUUCUGGUGGCCAUACGCUCUGUUCUUCCACCAGAGCUCUAGAAGAUCCCUGCAUAUCAAGCUGACCUUCUGUCCUGCCUGCUUGACUUCCAACAUUUUGGAAUUGCCUAUUCCUGUGCUGGUAAGAUAUACUUCGAAAUUGACCAGCAUGGAUGGACCCCAAUGCCUUCAAAUGCAGUUUCCCAGGGGCCCUUACGAACUAGUUCCCUGAGGAGCCUGCAGUGUGCUCUCCCCAUAUCCAGGGUUGAAAUUUCGGUGGCAGUUCUCCUAUCACCAGACAUUUUAAACUCGCUGACUUUGUGGUCAUUAUGGUGAAGAUGGCCACGUGUAUUUGGUUUUGUAACUUAGGUAGGACAGCUAUGUUAGGCCAUAGCUUUUAUUGUCUUUAAAAGAAAUAAAACUUUGCUCCGUCUCUAGAAAA
Cygnus atratus (black swan) is the source of this 3932-nucleotide RNA transcript. It is a transcript of the gene named NSE4 homolog A, SMC5-SMC6 complex component, with no coding region annotated. The transcript is spliced from 12 exons. NCBI's taxonomy places the organism in Eukaryota, Metazoa, Chordata, Aves, Anseriformes, Anatidae. The record is from RefSeq and is a predicted model, not a curated record.